This 253-nucleotide ribosomal RNA is filed under the name uncultured bacterium. Its description in RNAcentral is "partial 16S ribosomal RNA". It matches the Rfam family "Bacterial small subunit ribosomal RNA", at positions 524 to 776 of the family's 1533-position model. The record is from RNAcentral.
UACGUAGGGGGCAAGCGUUGUCCGGAUUUAUUGGGCGUAAAGAGCGUGUAGGCGGCUAGGUAGGUGGGUUGUGAAAACUGGAGGCUCAACCUUCAGACGUCGACCCAAACCCCCUGGCUAGAGUCCGGAAGAGGAGAGUGGAAUUCCCGGUGUAGCGGUGAAAUGCGUAGAGAUUGGGAAGAACACCGGUGGCGAAAGCGCUCUACUGGACUGCAACUGACACUCAGGGACGAAAGCUAGGGGAGCGAAUGGG